This 283-nucleotide long non-coding RNA is filed under the name Mytilus galloprovincialis (Mediterranean mussel). Lineage: Eukaryota; Metazoa; Mollusca; Bivalvia; Mytilida; Mytilidae. The record is from RNAcentral.
CACUAGCACCAUUUGAACACAUAUAAGUGAAUUCACCAUCUCUAUCAUUAUGUUUGCGCCCAUUUAAUAUAUAUAAAUCCUUUGCACAACACAAAUGUAUCAAUGAGCGACCAAAAUUAUUUGUAAUUUUGUCUUUAUUGCUACGUUUACACUGCGUAAUAUAUGUCUUUGAGUCGUGAUCGUUGUUUAUUAUGUAUUGAAGACCAGGAAUAUAGUUAGGUUUAUCUUCUGUGACAAAGUCAUUUAAUUCUGAAGUCCUAGAAUUAAAGUCACCCGCCAAAAG